CAAUUUUCAGGUUGCAAUAUCAUAAUCCAAAGCUAGGUCUUGUGUUAUCUCUUGCAACGAAUAUUUAAAAGCCUACUGAUCAGUUCCUAUAGCUCCAGUCUCUUCCACUACUUCUCUAAAUCUACCACCACCCCAAAGCACAGCUCUGUUUAUGUUGCCACUUUUUCUUUUUAUUUUCUUCUCCACCUUGACUCUAGUUAAAAACUUAGGUAAUUUUCAGUUGCAUACUGAAUUUCCUAUAAAGUCCUUUACCUAAAUUGCCAUAUCACUUAGUUAUUUUAUUAUGACCCUCGUAAACCACUUGCCUUCACUCACUAGAAUGCAUGCUCUGUAAGGGCAGGGAUCUGUGACCAUUUGCCUGGAUACCCCAACUGCCUGGAGCAUGGGAACAUUCAAUACAAUGUCCAGCAUAAAAGACAGUCUUGAUGACAUUUGCUCUGAGGACCCAAGCUAUGAUUUAUAUUGCACUUUUCUUGUACCUAUCAGAAAAGACUUAAUAUUCUCCUUAGCCAUACAUUCCUCCUAAAUAGAAAGCUCUGUGAAUCAGUGUUGUUCACAUUUGUAUCUUUCACAGCAUUUAGCCCAUUAGCCUAAUAAACAGAAAAUAAUUGUUUAUCGAAAAAAAUGAGUGAGGAUUAUAUGCUGAGAAAUCAUAUACAGUGAAAAUAUUCUUCAUCUUUUUUCCAAUUAUUGUGGCACAAUAACCAUCUAUCAGGGCUAAGUAAACAUAAUUUAUUUCAUUCAGGCUCUUUUAAUUUGAAUUCAGUGCAUCCAAGCAUUUUUAGUUAACAGUAAUCUGGAUGAUCUGUCUUCUCUGACCUGGUUGAAUAUGUUUGAUAUAAACUAUUUUUCAAUCAUAAGAUUGAGCUCUGCCUGGAAGGAGAAGAGGUCAAGAAGCUGCAGGAACACACAAUACAACAGAUGUUCUUUUCUCCUUUAUAGUCACAGAAGACCAUCUUCAUUUUGCAAAAUUAAAGGGUAGAUCCAACACAAAUAUUGAAAAAUUCUCCUAACUUCUUAACCCAACCCCAAAACUUAGGGUUUGAAAAUUGAUUACAGCUGUUCCUUUCUGAUUCUUAGCGGUUUUUUUGUUUUUGUUUUUGUUUUUUUAAUUCCCCAACCUUCCUUGUGGACACAUUGACGCACCAGUGCUCAAGCAGAGCCUCUGCCUGCAGGUGCAUUUACCAUUUGGGGAAUGUGCUGCCCUUGUUUUGUUAGCCUCAGCAUUUUCAAAGACCUCACUUCGCCUGUGGUGCCUGCGCAUACAUCACUGUCCACCUCUUUUGCCUUUUGUAUUUACCGUUGUCUUAUGCUUCAGCGUUUCCGAUGCCCUUGAGAAGCUGUAACCAUGCUUUACAUUUGAAAGGGUGCCAGCUCAUUUAAUCAGGUGGAGUUUGAGAGGCAUGGAUGAAUUUAUUCUAUCUAACAUUUAAUAAAAAAUAAAUUAAAAAUGUGACUUAUGCCAUGACAUGCUUAGCAUUACCCUUCCAGUUUUAAAUUUGAGAGUUGUCAGCACCCUCCCUGGUCUGAAAACUGACAUGUUAUCAAUCUUCUGCGUGGGUGACAAGGCCGCUGAUGUCUUCCCAAGGCACUUGUUUAAUAAUUAAUUUUUCAUCGCAGGCAUGUUCAAUAAAUGGAUUACAAAACGUAAGCCCGUUUAAAAGGUUUUAGAAAUUCAUUAUUAGUUUUAAAAGAUGAAUGUACAAAUUAACUAUCCCAUGAUAAAUGGGGCAUACUAAAUUUAGCCAGGCCCUAUGUGGUUUUAGCCUAUAUUUAUAUACGGUAUAGAGUAAGGUACAAAGUCAGGACAGUUUUGCAGACAAUGUUAUUGAAUCACUGAGGAAGUGAUUUUUUUCAAAGGAGUCUCAGAAAGGGAGAUCAGAUGACAAACUCAUGCUUUGAAGGUUUUAAUCUUUACUCUUGCCCUCAGAAAUCCUCAAACACAAAGCCUCUGGACCCGCUUAGUGCUAUUUCUGGAGUCAGUACCUCAGCUAAAGUUAUUCCACAGAAUAAAAUUAUGAUUUAAAAUGAAAGGAAUAUGAUCAGUUAUCACACCCUAAUUUUCUUGAUUAAACUUCUGUGCUGGUUAUUAUGCUGUUAUCUUCCAGCUCCAGGCUGGCUUUGUGAUUCUUCGGUAGAGGCUCUACAAACUGCAUUUCUUCUUGGCCAGCAGGGUGUGCUAGAGGGAGGCUGGCUGGCCCAGGGAAACUGGGUCUUUCCUGGUUCUUCUUUUUGUUGUCCUUCAGCAAAAGCACUUUACCCACAUAGCAGCAGCAGCCCAUUCCAGGUGGAAAAAAGCAAUCCCCCCCCCCCAUUCAGCAUCCUAGAAUCAGUUUCUUUGCACCCCCUUGGAGUUACCAGUAGUAGCCAGAUAUUAUUUAUAAUUAUGUUACCUCUUUUUUUUUUCUUUUCUCUCUCUCUCUCUUUUUUAAUUUGCCUUUUUCAACCUCCAACAUCUGGUUGACAAUUUCCUGUGUUAAAUUCUCUCUGUUGAAACAACAAAUGUGCUUUGUUUUUUUCCCAACUAGUCUUUGGUUGGUACGAGUGCCAAAGACCAUUAAAAACAAAAAUACAGAGCAAACAACCAAUUUUUCUCUGGUUCCUAAAGAGAUUCUGUAUAAUUGAAUGAUUAGAGAAUUCUCAUCUCUUUUGUUUCAGACCAUUGCAAAUGAUUUACAUGUAAUUAUAAUAUAUAUUACUUUUAAAACUCUAAGAUCAGCAUUCUUACCAAAAUGCCUCACAGCUUAUUAAUUGGUUGAUUCCAUCCCUCCCUCCCUCCCUUCCCAGCUUUCCAAUGUGUGUCUUGCAUUUUAAGCCAAGCUGUGGGGAAGGACAGAAGUAUGACGGUAGCUACAACUCUGAGAAUCAUUUUCCCUCUUAGUUGUUAUACCAGUGAGGAGGUCUGCUUUUCAGUCUCUUGUCUCCCCUCAGAGUUAAGUGAGAUGCUUUAGGUAAAAAGUACAGGAGCUCCCCUCUUCAAGUAAUGUCUUUCAUCAUUGUACUAAAACUUUUGCUUUCUGAAAUGGCUACUUUUACUUCAUAGCCAUGCCUCAGAUUAUUCUGAACAAAGGCUAUGUCAGAAACCUAUCUAACUUAAAUCUUCCUCAAAUGAAAUUAAGCUGAGAACACUGACUGUAAAAUUUAUUGAUACAAAGAAUUAUCUGCGUGGUUUUAUUUUUCUAUAUUCAGCAUGCAAAGUAAGAAUCAGAUAAAUCAGGAAAAUAAACAAAACCAUUUCAUUUGUUAACCAUAUUCCCUGCAUGAUAUAUUUACUCAUUCAUUUUUUUAAUAGAUGCUUCCCAGAUGGCUGCUGUGUGUUACACAACAUACUAAACACUGGUUGAAUAUUUUUUAAUGAGAACUUUAUGUAAUCACUCUUUACUAAAUAAUUACUAAUGUAAGCACUACAGACAAAAGUAUUUCAUGGAGAUGGAAAAUUAUCUGUUGUCCCUAUUAGAGUUCAUUUCAUAGUAAAUCUAAACUUUAGUGUCUAAACUUUAAUAAAAAGCAUUUUCUUUACAGAUAGACAUAGGUAGAUAUAUCCUCCAAUGGUGGACAUGUUUUCUUCUUUGCUGGUCAUUUGCAUUUUCACUAUAGACCAUUCUAGACUUUUUUUGAGUCAAGACUCUUUGUGGCCAGAGACUUUUACUCCAUAGCUGAUUCACAGUCUCAUAAAGAGGCAAGAAUAACAGCAUACCUGGGCCCUAGGAGAUUCUUGAUGAUAAAAUUCAUUGGCCUAUUUUCUCUGCUCUUCUCUCUGUUGUCUUCUGGGGCAUGCAUUUUUAUCAGUUCAGCUUGUUGUUGUGAUUAGUCCAGAGUCAUCCAGAGCUUUAUGUCUGGAAUGAGCCAUUAAUUAGCCAAUGUUUUUGUUCUACCCACUCUAUCCAACUAAGAAUGUCAGGGGGUUGUGAAGUGAAAAGAGAUACUGGCUCUGAAGUUAAAAGAGCUCAUCUUCCAACAGAUGUGUGAUGCUGUAUUAAAUAAUAAAUGGAAUAAUAUCACAAAAGAAAUACAAGAGUCAAAGAAAAAAAGCAGUACUCAGAUGCAGAUAGGCUGGUGCACUGCCAAGGAAAUAAGCAACAUCUAUGAUUGCUUGAUAUACACUUCAAGUUGUCCCACUCCACUGGAGGGGGUGCUUUCAGCAAUAUCGUUAGGUCCCUUGCCAGUACUUGAGGCAGCUACAGUGUCUUUCCCCAUUGUAUCCCAACUCUUUACAUACUCUGUAAAACACAGUAGAUACUCACAAAAUAUUUCAUUAGAUGAUCAAAGCAUUUGUUUUCCUAUGAAGAUAUUAGCUUCCUUUCUUCUCCUGAAUCUCAGGUUAUAAUCUACCUCACUGAUUAAUCAAGAGUCAUAAAAUACAUAUGCAGAGCUCCCUGGUAACGAUUUUGAUAUAUGUUUCUAAAAAUCUAGAGUCUAUGGCUUCUUUCAGUGUUAAGCAGAAACAAAGCUCAUUCUGUCAACUGGAGACUUUAACUUCCAUCAAAUUGGAAAUGGUAAUAAAUGAUAAUAAAAAAGGAUACUUUAUCAUAAUCAUCUAUCUACAUUCUAAAAUACAAAGGUAUGAAACUUCUCAUAAUCAAGGAUUAUUACAUUGCUUUUAGAGGCUUUUACAUUGCUUCUUUCUCAUUUCUAUUUUUGGUUAUGCUAAUGAAACUUAUUACUGUCCUUCAUGAUAAUGCUAGUAUUUUCUGCUAGGAAAAAUAUUUUAUUUGUGAAAGUACGCUUUACUUUACUUCUGAAAUAGAGAUUUUAUUUUGAUUUGGGGUUUUGUUCUUUUGUUUUCAAGUCAACCUCAUUUUUAAUCUUCACUUGAAGUUGAUUCUGAGGCUUGAGUUCAGGUGAAAAUGUUAAUAGAAUUGAAAAACAGUUGGUCAAGUGAAAUUACACUGAAUAAAUUAAAUUUGAGGUAAACUGAAAUAAUAAAGGAUUCUAAGCUUAUUAAAGAAGAGUUAAUCAAAUGUAAGCACUUUUUAAAGCAUGUAACUAGAGAAAGCAAUUUUAUUCUGAAAUCUCUCAUGAUUUUUAUAUGUGUGUGUAUACAUAUAUGUUUUUUCUUACUGAGAGUGAUUUUUGGUAAGACAGCAUUAAUUGUACACAUUGCUCUUGAUCAAAUAUUUCAAAAGAACAUCUAACCUUGUCCUUGUCCACUGCAAUGAGAAAAAAGUGCCUCAUCAUUUUUCUCUUAAUAGUUUAUAGAUAUGAAUGGACUGCCCUUGCAAAAUUUAGUUUACACUGCUGAUGUCUCAUGGGCCUAACUUGAUUUUGUCACUUAUAUAGACAAGUUUUGGACCAUAGACAGGUGCAAAGCAUUGACACACAUAAAAAGAAAUAAGAAAGUAUAUUAUGAACUCUGGUCCGGAUGAUAAUUAUAAUUGGCAAACUGGAGUCAGAGACAUACUAAAAAAGAACAUUAAUAUUGAAAAUAUUUUCAGAUGGUUCCUUCUGGAAAGGAAAAUUAGCAUUAAGCAAUAACAAGAAAACUAAUCUUUAUGGAGAAAUAAAUGCCAGACUUUAUUGUUCGGUAUUCUCUGUAGUGAUCUUAUUCUUGACUAGGAAAAGUACUUCUUUGUUAUGAAAAAAAUGGAAAAUUUUAAUCAAAAUGAGGAUGAAUAGGAGUUGGAAGAUGGUAACUGCAUCAGUUAUUCAAUGGAUAGGAAAAUAUAAAUAAGCACAGAUCUUAGCAUUUUGUUAGAAAUCAAUUGGGGAGACAUUUUCAUUCUUCAGAAAUGUAAAUUUUCUUUGAACAUAAAUGAAGUAUAGCCAUAAAUUUUACUUGGUACUGAAUCUGUAUUUGGUAUUGAUUUGAUUCUCACGUUUGCUUAAUUGUGUCACAACUGCUAUAUUCUUCUGAGGAAAAGGGACAGGAGAGGGAGAUGAUGGGUCCUGCAAUACUGUUGUUGAAGUUUUCACCAAUCCAAGCAUAGCAGAUUCUUGGCGUUUACUGCUUAUAAUUGUUUAAAAUGUUAUUGAUUUAAAACUUUGUCUUAUUUUAUCUCUCGAGAUAUAAGGAUAUACAUGACUAUUAUUUUAAAAUUCCUUCAGUUUAGCCUUUAAAAUUAAUGGCUCAUUCACCCUUUAUUAGCAAAGUUUGUUAGUGAGUUAGAAAACUUGAAAACAGUUAACAGAAAAGCAAAAGAAUACAAAAUAAAAGACAGCACAAUAACUUUUCUUUUAUUGAAAAUAAUUUUUUUAGGAGUUCCUGUUGUGGUGCAGCGGAAAUGAAUCCGAUUAGGAACCAUGAGGUUGUGGGUUCGAUCCCUGGCCUUGCUCAGUGGGUUAAGAAUCCGACGCUGCCAUGAACUGUGGUGUAGGUCACAGACGAGGCUUGGAUCUGGCGUUGCUGUGGCUGUGGCUUAGGCCAGCAGCUGUAGCUCCAAUUUGACUCCUAGCCUGGGAACCUCCAUAUGCCAUGGGUGUAGCCCUAAAAAA
Molecule: long non-coding RNA, 6432 nt
Filed under: Sus scrofa (pig)
Lineage: Eukaryota; Metazoa; Chordata; Mammalia; Artiodactyla; Suidae
Description: lncRNA (ENSSSCG00035036670.1)
Source: RNAcentral